This 424-nucleotide ribosomal RNA is filed under the name Verrucomicrobiota bacterium. RNAcentral describes it as "Verrucomicrobia bacterium partial 16S ribosomal RNA". It matches the Rfam family "Bacterial small subunit ribosomal RNA", at positions 355 to 776 of the family's 1533-position model. Lineage: Bacteria; Pseudomonadati; Verrucomicrobiota. The record is from RNAcentral.
UGAGGAAUAUUGGUCAAUGGACGAGAGUCUGAACCAGCCAAGUAGCGUGCAGGAUGACGGCCCUAUGGGUUGUAAACUGCUUUUGUUUGGGAAUAAUCGACAUUACGUGUAAUGUUUUGCAUGUACCAUUCGAAUAAGGACCGGCUAAUUCCGUGCCAGCAGCCGCGGUAAUACGGAAGGUCCAGGCGUUAUCCGGAUUUAUUGGGUUUAAAGGGAGUGUAGGCGGUUGGUUAAGCGUGUUGUGAAAUGUAGAUGCUCAACAUCUGACUUGCAGCGCGAACUGGCUGACUUGAGUACACACAACGUAUGCGGAAUUCAUGGUGUAGCGGUGAAAUGCUUAGAUAUCAUGAAGAACUCCGAUUGCGAAGGCAGCUGACGGGAGUGUUACUGACGCUUAAGCUCGAAGGUGCGGGUAUCGAACAGG